RNAcentral lists this transfer RNA (76 nucleotides) under Dehalococcoidales bacterium. RNAcentral's name for it is "tRNA-Glu". It matches the Rfam family "tRNA". From Rfam's summary of the family: Transfer RNA (tRNA) molecules are approximately 80 nucleotides in length. Their secondary structure includes four short double-helical elements and three loops (D, anti-codon, and T loops). RNAcentral also lists the same sequence under 1 other name. Lineage: Bacteria; Bacillati; Chloroflexota; Dehalococcoidia; Dehalococcoidales. The record is from RNAcentral.
GCCCCCAUCGUCUAGAGGCCUAGGACACUGGCCUUUCACGCCGGCAACAGCGGUUCGAAUCCGCUUGGGGGUACCA